AGAGAGAGACAUGCGCGCAUAUCAAUAAGCGGAGGAAAAGAAACUAACAAGGAUUCCCUUAGUAACGGCGAGUGAAGCGGGAAGAGCUCAAAUUUGAAAUCUUCAAGGUCCUACCUUGACGAAUUGUAGUUUAUAGAAGUGUUUUCUGUUAGUGGAGUGGCAAAAGUUCUUCGGAAUAGGACAUCAUAGAGGGUGAGAAUCCCGUAUUUGGUCAUUCCUCCUAGCGUUGUGAUACACUUUCAACGAGUCGGAUUGUUUGGGAAUGCAGUCCAAAAUGGGUGGUAAAUUCAUCUAAAGCUAAAUAUUGGCGAGAGACCGAUAGCGAACAAGUACCGUGAGGGAAAGAUGAAAAGAACUUUGAAAAGAGAGUUAAACAGUAGCGUGAAAUUGUCAAAAGGGAAGCGUUUGACACCAGUGUUGUUUUUCCGAAAAUCAAUUACGAAUGUUUUAUUUUUGAGGAGUUAUGACUUCAUCGGCUUGCUCCUUUCUUUACUGAAACUUUCUUAAUGCACUUUUCGGUUAACAAGUCAACAUCAAUUUCUUUUGUUGUAAAAGGGUAUGAGGAAGGUGGCUUUCUUUUCGGAGAAAGUGUUUAUAGCCUUGUGCCUCUGCAAUCGGAGAGAUUGAGGUCUGCAGCGUAGAUCCUUCGGGGUUAGAUACGUUUGUGCUAAGUUAUAGCUUUUCAUAGACAACUUGUUGACUAUGUUUAGUCUUGUAGCUUACUCGCUGACGCUAUUUUACCUACGCUUAGGAUGUUGAUAGUCACAGCGUGUAC
Molecule: ribosomal RNA, 775 nt
Filed under: uncultured Neocallimastigales
Lineage: Eukaryota; Fungi; Neocallimastigomycota; Neocallimastigomycetes; Neocallimastigales
Description: partial large subunit ribosomal RNA
Rfam family: Eukaryotic large subunit ribosomal RNA
Source: RNAcentral